GUGCCAGCAGCCGCGGUAAGACAGAGGUCUCAAGCGUUAGGCGGAAUCACUGGGCUUAAAGCGUGUGUAGGCGGAGUCCUAAGUACCUUGUGAAAUCCCCGGGCUUAACCCGGGAACGGCUUGGUAUACUGGGUCUCUUGAGCCAACUAGGGGCGACCGGAACAAACGGUGGAGCGGUGAAAUGCGUAGAUAUCGUUUGGAACGCCAAUGGUGAAAACAGGUCGCUGGGGUUGUGCUGACGCUGAGACACGAAAGCCAGGGGAGCGAACGGGAUUAGAUACCCCGGUAGUCC
This 292-nucleotide ribosomal RNA is filed under the name uncultured bacterium. RNAcentral's name for it is "partial 16S ribosomal RNA". It matches the Rfam family "Bacterial small subunit ribosomal RNA", at positions 505 to 796 of the family's 1533-position model. The record is from RNAcentral.